Long non-coding RNA from Prunus dulcis (almond), 1740 nucleotides. RefSeq lists it as uncharacterized. The record is from RefSeq and is a predicted model, not a curated record. The transcript is spliced from 5 exons. NCBI's taxonomy places the organism in Eukaryota, Viridiplantae, Streptophyta, Magnoliopsida, Rosales, Rosaceae.
AGAGCAACAACUGGUUUAUUGGUUUGCAAAUACUCGUCAUGGAGAUCAAUCUUCUUCUUAGCCAUCUUUAACACCUUAGUGACGGAUCCAAAAAUCUUACCUUAUAUAGUGUAAAAGAUAGUGAAUGUGGCGAUAGGAUUUUGGCGGCGACCGAGAGAUGGAGGUUAAGGGUUUUGGGGGGAGAUUUGAGGGGUUUAAGGUUGAGGAGAAAUAUAAAUGGGGUUUGGAGUAGAUGGAUUUCGUGAUUUUAUCUGAUAAUCUGAUUAUGUUCCGAAUUUGUUAGUGGAUCAAAUUUGAAUGUGGCUACAUCCAAUCUGAUAAUAAUCCGAUCUGUUUUGAUAUAAUAUAGUAUUUAUUUAAUUUUUGUAAUAAAAUAUAUUGAUAGAUUAAUUUGCUUACUUUUUUAUAUUUUGAAUCCAAUGUUUUAAUAGCCCAAUUGAUAUUCAAAUCCCUAAACCCAACUUUACCCCUAAGUCUAAAGCCCAACUUCGCAGCCCCAAUAAAAACCCUACCUCUCUUCCACUAAAUCCUAUCAUUCUCCUCUCGCUUCAGCCGCCUCCAUCUAAACUUCUCUCUCUCUCUCAAAGUUUCUCUUCUUCAUGGCUAGCUCUUUCUUCUCUGUCUAUCUUUUUCUUGACAGAGUUGGAAAUGAAAAGUAAGAGUGAAGGAACACAAGAAGCGUGCUCUUCUUCUUCUUCUUCCUCAGGUGCGCAGCGGUUCUUGAGUUUCAGGGAUGAGGUCGUACAACUAUAAUGUCUAUGACGAGCCCAUAAAGGCUACUUCAGAAUCAGCAGAGUGGAUAUUUUUAGCCACUAACCUUGGCCUAGAGAUGUUGUCAGCUGCUUGUGAUCAGGUUCCUCCCCAAGAAAAACCCAUUAUGCACUAUUUGGUAUGCUGUUGGCUAUUGCAGCUGUGCUCAUUUCCAUCUGGGAGCUUACAGCAUACCAAAUAGUGCAUAGUGGGGUUUUUUUGGAACUCUUCCUGACAUUUAUGGACUAGUUGCUGGCAUAUCACAUUGCAUUUGCUGUAUAGUUCAGUAUGUUUACUGCCUUCGGCAUGCUAAUAAUCCUUUCAAAGCAUCCCUUUUGCCUGCCAUAUUUCUUCUCUGUUUAGGUGGUUCAAAACUAAGUAAUAACCGAAGGAACGCCAAUACCGCUGAUAACAUCUUGAGAAAGCCUUUGGAUGGUGGAAAGCCCCUCGGAUGCGCUGGACUACCACUCUACAUGCUCGCUUUGUUCAUGCUGUUAACCUUUUGGGUGGCCAUGAAAGUGCUACACCAGAGUCAGUUCUUGAGCUUAUGGAUGUCAAAGAUCUCACCUAGGCACAUGUCAGAUCUCAUUUACUGGUCAAGGUUUGAGUCUCUUCAUGCACACUGAAUUUCGGAACUUUUUUAAGUUGAGGGCAACAUAGUUGGUUACCAGUGAGGGGGCGGUGGUGGGAGGCUGGGAGGUGCUGGCUGACGAUGGGCACGUCGGUGGUGGCUGGGAUGAGGUGAUGGCUGAGCAGCAGCAGCGAGUGUAGCAACUGCUGAUGCAUUGGGCAGUGGCGGCUGGCUUGAAGGCGGAUUGAUGGAGGUGGACAUGUGGCUUGACUUCGAUGUAGUGGCAUUAUGUGUAAUUUUGAUAUUUUUUAAUUAUAUUAUUGUAAAAUUAGGUACCACUUUUUGGUUAUUGGCUUUAUGCUAAUUAGGUAAAAUUGAAGAAAUCAGAAGAAAAACAAGAUUCGGAUCUUCUGCUUUGA